Molecule: transfer RNA, 104 nt
Filed under: Rhizoctonia solani
Lineage: Eukaryota; Fungi; Basidiomycota; Agaricomycetes; Cantharellales; Ceratobasidiaceae
Description: tRNA-Met
Rfam family: tRNA
About the family: Transfer RNA (tRNA) molecules are approximately 80 nucleotides in length. Their secondary structure includes four short double-helical elements and three loops (D, anti-codon, and T loops).
Source: RNAcentral
AGCUUCUUAGCGCAGUGGAAGCGCGCGGGGCUCAUAUGUAGCCAUGCUGUCCGCCAACUAUAAUUGUCACCCCGAGGUCCUUGGAUCGAGACCAAGAGAAGCUA